CGUCGGCUGGGAUGGGCGGGACACGAGUGGCUCUUGGAAAAAGCGCGGGGCAAACAAAAUGGCGGCCGUUCGACUGAAAGGGGCGGCUCCACAGAGAUUUGGCCAGGUUAGUGACAGCGAAUUGGUUUGGAGGAACGGCUGCUGUCAGGGCAGGCUUCAGGCGAGAUGGGACAUGAAGGGGUUCCAGCCAUGCCCCGUGGUUCCACAGCUGCUGGAGUGACUUAGCAGUUGGCUAGGCAUACCCUGAACUACAGAAGAUGUAUGCUGGGCCAGAAGCAGGCCUUCUUCCUGCAGACUUGGAAGGAGCUGAUGACAAAGGCCUGCCAACAGUGCUGUGACUGCCAGCGCAGUACCAUACAGAGUGGUCUCUGCUGAGCAUCUCGUUCCUCCAGUGGGAAAAGAGAACCCAAAGGGGACAACCACUCCACCUGUCAGCAUUAAUCAAGUCAGGGGUGCUUCAUGACCAAGGAAGUCAGCAGGGUUCAAAUCUGCCUGAUUCUGAUCCUCAAGUGAGUUUUGCCUGCCCUAGAGCUUGGUUUGCCUGUGCCCAGGGAAGGAGCUGAAUCACAGCCCCAACUGCUGUGGAGUGUCUUCUGCCCCAUCUGAUCAGAAGGACUGGCAACAAUUCCUGGAAGCAGUGUGGCUCAUUGGCACUCCAGCUGACAGGUGGGCAGGCAGAGUUGGUCAUCCCUAGAACAAAGCCACUAUCAGGCAUGUAGUGUUCUUGUACUAUACAUAGGCAGGGGGAUUAAUUCAUAGCAAAGGCUCCAGCUACUAGCAACUGGAGAACCUGUUUUGAAAAUUGAGAGUAGCCUGGAGUAGCUCUUCCACCUCCCACCCAGGCAAAGUUGCUGACACAUAGACCCACCUGCUGUGAAGAGAAAUAUCUUCUGGCCCCAUCUCAUUAGAAGGACUGUAGACAACUCCUGGAAGCUGUGUGGCCCAGCAACACUUGAGCCAAGAGGUGGUCAGACAAAGUCAGUAGUUUGCAGAACAAAGCCACUGGUCCUAUUCAGUCAGGGAACUUGGUGUCUGGAUCAGUUUGAGAUAAGACAACUAAGGAUUUUACCAGCCGUAGAGCUGCUUCUCCCACUGUACCCGGGCAGGGAAUGUAAUUUGUAGCUCUACUCAUCACUGAAUACAGCCUAUCUAUCUGACCAGGGAACCUAACCACAGCAGGAAAGCUGCAAAGCCUAUUCAACAACACUACAUGCAGUGACACUUGAAUAGGCAGCAUAGUCCAUGGCUUUCCCAUCUGUAGAGCAAAACCAGUGGCCUCACUAGAGUAGGAAAUUUAACUCACACUUUGGCUUGGUUCAGAUUCCAAAACAACAAGCUAUACAGGCUCUGGGUCCCAUCCUGCAGCUCUCCCAGGGCAGGGAAGUUAAUUCAUGGCCCCAUCCACUACUGAAUAUUGUAGCCAGUCUCUAUCAUCUGGUAAUCCUGACAAGAGAAUCUAGGCAAGUGUGGAACCUAUCCUACAGCUGCACUUUGGUUGGGGUCCAAGCCAGCAGUUUUAUUCAACUGUUCUCAGCCCAUGGCGUAUCCCUUGUCCCUAUCCUCAGAGCUUGAACAGUUGUUUCACCCAAAAGUGGACCAUAAAAGCAGGCUUCACCUAUCUAAGUACAUUAAAAAUAAAUAUGACCAGAAACCCAAACUAAAGUGACUGGUGAAGAACUGUCUCUGCCAAAGCAAACCAGUAACAUCUGGUAGAGUCUGAUUACUCAAAUGUGCAGAUGCCAAUGGAAGGAACCAAGGAUCAUGAAAAGUCACGUAUAUAUGACACAUCAAAGAAAUCUAGUAAAGCUGCAAUAACUGUAAAGAAAUGGAGAUCUGUGAACUGUCAGACAAAGAAUUCAGAAUGAACUUCUUAGGAAGUUUGGUGAACUACAAGUGGACAACAAAAUGAGAUUAGCAAAACAAUGCAUGAAUGAAAUGACAAGUUUGACAAGGAAAUAGCAGCCAUCAAAAACAAAAAUGAAAUCCUAGAGUUGAAAAAUACAGUUACCCACCUGAAGAAUUCAAUAGAGAGUUUCAAAAGUGGACUUGACCAUGCAGAAGAAUGAGUAAUUUGAAGGAUAGGACAUUGGAAAGUAUCCAGAGGAGCAAAAAGAAAAAAGAAUGAGCAAGAGUGAAGAAAGCUGACAGCAAUAAGACAAUGAAAAAAUGAUACUUGCAUUAUGGGAAUUCCAGAAAGAUAAGAGAAAGAGAAUGUGACAUAAAGUAUAUUUAAAGCAAUAAUGGCUAAAAACUUCCUGAACCUAGGGAGAGAAUUAGAUAUCUAGAUCCAUGAGGCCCAAAGGACUCCAAAUAGGUUGAACUUGAAUAGGGCUACACCAAGACACAUUAUAAUUAAAUUGGCAAAAGUCAAAGACAAAGAAUUUCAAGAGCAGUAAGAGAAAAGAGACAUUACAUACAUGGAAACCUCUCAUAAGACUAUAGACAGAUUUCUCAACAGAAACUUUUUAGGCCAGGAAAGAAUGGGAUGACAUUUUCAAAAUAUUGAAAGAAAGAAUAAUUGUCAGCCAAGAAUUCUAUAUCCAAUGAAACUAUUCUUCAGAAGUGAACAAGGUACAAAGUCCUGAACAAACAAAAAUUGAGGGAGUUCAUUACUAUCAGACCUGCCUUAUAAGAAAUGCUAAAGUGAGUUUUUUGGUGAAAAUAAAAGAGCACUAACAUCAUAAAAACAAAAAUACAGUGUAAAUUUCAUAGGUAAUGGUAAAUAUAUAGUCAUAGUUAGAGUCUGCAAUAUUGUAGUAGUAGUGAAUAAUUCAUUUAAAACUCUAGUUUAAAAAUUAAAAAAUGAAUACAGUAAAAAUAACCAUAACUAUAAUAACCUGUUGUUAGUUAGACAAUAUAAAAAUAUGGAUAUUGUAACAUAAUAACCUAAAAUGUGAGAAGUAAAAGUAUAAAGUUUAUAAAUUCUAUUGACACUCUUAUCAGUUUAAAAUAAGGUGUUACAAGUUUAAGAUAUUUUAUAUAAGCUUUAUGGUUACCACAAAGGAAAAUCCUGUAGUAAUUACACAAAAGAACAUGAUAAAGAAGUCAAAGCAUAUUGAUAUCAAAAGACAUCAACACACCAAAAAAGAUAGCAAGAUAAACAAGGAAUAGUGGAUCUACAAAACAACUAGGAAACAACGUACAAAAUGAUAAUAGGAAGUUCUUACCUAGCAAUAAUUUUUUAAACAAAAAUGGGUAAAAUUCUCCAGUUAGAAUACAUUGAAUGGUGCAAUGGAUUAAAAAAUAAAAACAAGAUCCAGCAAUAUACUGCUUACUAGAGACUCACUUAAGCCGUAAAGACACACAGAGACUGAGUGAAGAGAUAGAAAAAAACAUUUCAAGCAAAAGGUAACCAAAAAAAAAAGCAAGCGUAGUUAUACUUCUAUCAGACAAACCAGACUUUAAACUAAAAUUGGUAAAAAGAGACAAAGAAGGUCAUUAUAUAAUGAUAAAGGAGUCAGAAAUUAAGAAGAUAUAACAGUUGUAGAUAUUUAUGCACCCAGCGUUGGAUCACAUAAAUAUAUAAAAUAAAAACUAACAGAGAUAAAAGGAGAAAUAAAUGGUAACAUAAUAAUAGUUGGGGGCUUUAAUACUCUAUUGUUAACAACGGAUAGAUCAUCCAGAGAGAGGAUCAGUAAGGAAACAGUAUUUGAACAACAGUGUAGGCAAAAUGGACCUAACAGACACAGAACAUUCUAUUCAACCACAGCAGGAUACACAUUAUUCUCAACUGCACAGGGAACGUUUUCUAGGAUGGACCAUGUUUUAAGCUCAAAAAAGUCUUAACAAAUUCAAGAAGAUUGGAAUCAUACCAAGUAUCUUUUCUGACUAUAACAGCAUGAAGCCAGGAAAAAAUAAGAGGAAACCUGGAAAAUUCAUGAAUACAUGGAAAUUAUAUAAAACUUUUCUGAACAAUCAGUGGAUCAAAGAACAAAUUAAAGGGGGAAUACCAAAAGUUUUUUUUGAGACAAAUGAAAAUAAAAACAUAACAUACCAGAACUUGUGGGAUGCAGCAAAAGCAGGUCUAAGAGGGAAGAUCGUAGCAAUAAAUGCUUAUGUUAAGAAGCAAGGAAGAUCACACAUAAACAAUCUAACUCUACACCUAAAGGAACUAGAAAAAGAAGAACUGAGCCCAAAGUUAGAAGAAAGAAGAUAAUAAAGAUUAGAGCAAAUAUAAAUGAAACAGAGAACAGAAAAACAUUAGAAAAGAUUAACCAAACUACGAGUUGAUUCUUUGAAAAGAUAAAAAAAAAAAAACAAAAAAACCAAAAAAAAAAACAAAAAAAACAAACCUGACAAAAGCUUGGCUAGACUAACCAAGGAAGAAAGAGAAAGGACUCAAAUCUAUAAAAUUAUAAAUGAAAAAAGAGACAUUACAACUGAUAUCACACAAAAAUUCAAAGGAUCAUAAGAGGCUACUAUAAACAACUAUAUGCCAACAAACUGGAGAACCUAGAAGAAAUGGAAAAAUUCUAGAAACAUACAACUCACCAAAACUGAAUCAAAAAGAAAUAGAAAAUCUGAAGAGACCAAUUAUUAGUAAGAAGAUUGAGUCAAUAAUAAAAAAUCUCUCAAUGAAGAAAAGCUCAGGACCAGAUGGCUUCACCGCUAAAUUUCACCAAACAUUUAAAGAACACUCCCAAACUCAUUUUGUGAGGCCAGCAUUAUCCUGAAAUGAAAACCAGAAAAGGACACUAUUAGAAAAGAACACUAUAGGCCAAUAUUGCUGAUAAAUAUAGUUGCAAAAAUUCUCAGUAAAAUACUAGCAAACCAAAUUUAGCAGCACAUGAAAAGGAUCGUGAUCAAACACAUUAAAAAGCAUCAUGAUCAAGUGGGACUCAUCCCUGGAAUACAAUGAUGGUUCAACAUAUGGAAAUUAAUAGAAUUUAUAUCACAUUAAUAGAAUGAAAGAAAAGAAACAUAUGAUCCUCUCAAUAGAUGCAGAAAAAGCAUUUGACAAUAUUCAACAUCCAUUCAUGAUAAGAACUCUUAACAAAUUACACAUGAAAGGAACAUAUCUCAACAUGAUAAAAGGCCAUAUAUGACGAACACAGCUAACAUUAUAAUCAGUGUUGAAAGGUUGAAUGCUUUUCCUCUAAGAUCAAGAAGAAGACAAAGGUACCCAUUCUCCCUUCUCCUAUUCAAGAUAGUUAACUUGGAGAUCCUAGCUAGAGCAAUUAGGCAAGAAAGAGAAAUAAAAUAUCAGAAUUAGAAAGGAAGGGGUGCCUGGCUGGCUCAUUUGGUAGAGCAUGUGACUCUUGACCUUUGGGUUGUGAGUUCAGGCCCCACAUUGGGCAUAGAGCUUACUAAAAACAAAACAAAAAAGAUUUGGGAAGAAGUAAAAUUGUCUCUAUUUGCAGAUGACAUGAUUUUAUAUACAGAAAAUCCUAAAGACUCAACCAAAAACUGUUAGAUCUAAUCACUGAAGUCAGUAAAGUUGUGGGAUACAGAAUUAACAUGUGAAAGUCAGUCAUGUUUCUAUACACUAACAAUGAAUUUUAUGAAAAAGAAAUCAAUCCCAUUUAUAGUAACAUCAAAAACAUAAAAUACUUGGGAAUACAUUUUGCAAAGGAGAUGAAAAACUUUGCUUUGAAAGCUAUAAGACAUUGAUGAAAGAAAAGAAAGAGGACAAAAUAAAUGGAAAACUAUCACAUAUUCCAUGGAUUGGAAGAAUUAAUAUUGUUAAAAUGUGAUUACUACCAAAAACCAUCUGUGGAUUUAAUGCAAUCCCUAUCAUGAUUCUCAUGGCAUUUUUUUUUACAGACAUAGAAAAAACAUUCCUAAAAUUUAUAUGGAACUACAAAAGACUCCAAAUACCCAAAGAAAUCUUGAGAAAGGAGAACAAAGCAGAAGGCAUCACAUUUCCUGAUUUUGAGAAAUACUAUAAAGCUAUAGUCAUCAAAAACAGUAUGGUAUUGGCAUAAGAACAGUCUAUAUGGACUCAGUAUGGCUGGGAAAUGUAGUUGGGUUAAAUGAAAUUUAGGAUAUUUUUGUUAUUUAUUUACAAUCUAAUUAGGAAAAUAAAAAAAGAUUCUGAGAAAACAGUGAGUAGUUAUUAAGUUACAUACUAUGUCAUACAAUCACUGGUUGUACAGGGUACAAUCUGUGCAAUCGAAUCUGUAUGAGUACAGAAUCGAUUAAUAUGAGCUGAAGUAGUACAUCUGUGGUUCCUGAGAUAAAUAAUAAAUUACUAUUCCAGUAUCUUCCCAGACUGGCUAUUUUAUUGAAGGUCAUAUUCCUCUUGUCACAUAUUGGAAAUUCCAUCUAUAAUUUUUAUUUUAACUUUUUCCUCCCUUUUCCAAUGACAUAAUCUUACCCUAACCACCCACCAAAGAAAACAACACAGGAUUCUUUGUAGUGUGCUGAUGGCAUUUUGAAAACAAAAGGACAUGGCACAUACAACUAAGCUGAAUAUCUGGAUAUCUGCAUGAUGCUGUAUCUGUGGUCCUUUGGACAAGAAUUGCAUGCCUCCAUCUUGGGAAUCAGUGUACCAGUCCUAGAGUGAAGGAGUCUUUGGACUUUGUAACUGGUCUCCUUGGCAGAAUUUUGUUUUUGAAUGGAAAAAAAAGAACCUGAGAAAGAUGUGUGUGUGUGUGUGUGUGUGUGUGUGUGUGUGUGUGUGUGUGUAUACAGUGGUGGUAAUGGUGAAUUUCACAGAUGGGGAAGAAUUCUGAAGAGCUCUUUCCUGGUAACAUUGAGUAAGCAAGGAAGUCUUUGUCUUUUAGCUUUUUGAAUGAUAAUCAGAGAUAGGCUGCUGGAACUACCAUCUGGUACCUAGGUAGUCAGAUGCUAUGUUGCAAAACUCUUUUAUUCACCAGGCUGGACCAGAUUGUAGUAACAAGCCACUCCAAAAUCUGAAUGGUUUAAAUAACAAAGGAGUAUUUCUUGCUCCCACUGCGUGUCCACCAUGGGUCACCAGAGGGCUUUGACAACAUUGUUGUCCUUACUCUGGGACCUAGAUUGACAAAGUACCUAUCAUUUAGAAUACUGCUGGUCAAAAUGGUAGUGGGGGAAAAACAACUCUGUAGGGUCUAGCAUCUGUAUCACUCUUUGGCUUAGAAUAACUCAAAUCAAUCCUGACAGUUUAGGAUUUAAUGAAGUUUUAUAAGGAAAAAAAAUCCAUUGAGAUAACUACAGGAUUUUAUAUUUAGAACCUCAAAUUUGCUUGCCUAGAAUGAGGGUGUGUGCAAGAAGAACUGAAGGCUCAAUAUGAAUGAGCCAGUAGUGUUAUAUGACAGCCAAAAAGCUACAGUGAUUUCAGGUUAGAGUAAUAACAUCCAUAGCAAAAUUGGUCCAUAGUUGUUCCACUAUACUUCCUGUUAAACCAUUCCAGAGGUAUCUGUUCAGAUUUGGUACCAUACUUGGAAUGAUACUCAUAAAGAAAAAUGAGUUUAGGGGUGCCUAGGUGGCUCAGUCGGUUAAGCGUCUGACUGAGCU
Long non-coding RNA from Acinonyx jubatus (cheetah), 7437 nucleotides. RefSeq lists it as uncharacterized. The record is from RefSeq and is a predicted model, not a curated record. The transcript is spliced from 4 exons. NCBI's taxonomy places the organism in Eukaryota, Metazoa, Chordata, Mammalia, Carnivora, Felidae.